UGGGGAAUAUUGCACAAUGGAGGGAACUCUGAUGCAGCGACGCCGCGUGAACGAAGAAGGCUUUCGAGUCGUAAAGUUCUUUUAUAUGGGAAGAUAAUGACGGUACCAUAAGAAAAAGCCCCGGCUAACUACGUGCCGGCAGCCGCGGUAAUACGUAGGGGGCUAGCGUUGUCCGGAAUCACUGGGCGUAAAGGGUUCGCAGGCGGAAAUGCAAGUCAGGUGUAAAAGGCAGUAGCUUAACUACUGUAAGCAUUUGAAACUGCAUAUCUUGAGAAGAGUAGAGGUAAGUGGAAUUUUUAGUGUAGCGGUGAAAUGCGUAGAUAUUAAAAAGAAUACCGGUGGCGAAGGCGACUUACUGGGCUCAUUCUGACGCUGAGGAACGAAAGCGUGGGUAGCAAACAGG
This 403-nucleotide ribosomal RNA is filed under the name Bacteroidota bacterium. Its description in RNAcentral is "Bacteroidetes bacterium partial 16S ribosomal RNA". It matches the Rfam family "Bacterial small subunit ribosomal RNA", at positions 355 to 776 of the family's 1533-position model. Lineage: Bacteria; Pseudomonadati; Bacteroidota. RNAcentral also lists the same sequence under 1 other name. The record is from RNAcentral.